RNAcentral lists this ribosomal RNA (436 nucleotides) under uncultured bacterium. Its description in RNAcentral is "partial 16S ribosomal RNA". It matches the Rfam family "Bacterial small subunit ribosomal RNA", at positions 341 to 792 of the family's 1533-position model. The record is from RNAcentral.
ACGGAAGGCAGCAGUGGGGAAUAUUGGGCAAUGGGGGGAACCCUGACCCAGCAACGCCGCGUGGAGGAAGAAGGUCUUCGGAUCGUAAACUCCUGUCCUAGGGGAAGAGAAGGAGACUGUACCUUAGGAGGAAGCCCCGGCUAACUACGUGCCAGCAGCCGCGGUAAUACGUAGGGGGCGAGCGUUGCCCGGAAUGAUUGGGCGUAAAGGGCGCGUAGGCGGCCCGGUAAGUCAGAAGUGAAAGUCCUGCUUUCAAGGUGGGAAUUGCUUUUGAUACUGUCGGGCUUGAGUGCAGGAGAGGUUAGUGGAAUUCCCAGUGUAGCGGUGAAAUGCGUAGAGAUUGGGAGGAACACCAGUGGCGAAGGCGACUAACUGGACUGUAACUGACGAUGAGGCGCGAAAGUGUGGGGAGCAAACAGGAUUAGAUACCAUGGUA